Molecule: ribosomal RNA, 610 nt
Filed under: uncultured delta proteobacterium
Lineage: Bacteria; Deltaproteobacteria
Description: bacterial SSU rRNA
Rfam family: Bacterial small subunit ribosomal RNA
Source: RNAcentral
GGGCCUGCGUUCCAUUAGCUAGUUGGUAGGGUAAUGGCCUACCAAGGCAACGAUGAGUAGCUGGUCUGAGAGGAUGAUCAGCCACACUGGAACUGAAACACGGUCCAGACUCCUACGGGAGGCAGCAGUGGGGAAUAUUGCGCAAUGGGCGAAAGCCUGACGCAGCAACGCCGUGUGAGGGAUGAAGGCUUUCGGGUCGUAAACCUCUGUCGGAAGGGAAGAACGGGCAUUGGUCUAAUAGGCCUUUGUUUUGACGGUACCUUUAGAGGAAGCACCGGCUAACUCCGUGCCAGCAGCCGCAGUAAUACGGAGGGUGCAAGCGUUAUUCGGAAUUACUGGGCGUAAAGCGCACGUAGGCCGCUUUGUAAGUCAGGGGUGAAAUCCCACGGCUCAACCGUGGAACUGCCUUUGAAACUGCAGAGCUUGAAUCCUGGAGAGGGUGGCGGAAUUCCUGGUGUAGGAGUGAAAUCCGUAGAUAUCAGGAGGAACACCGGUGGCGAAGGCGGCCACCUGGACAGGCAUUGACGCUGAGGUGCGAAAGUGUGGGGAGCAAACAGGAUUAGAUACCCUGGUAGUCCACACCGUAAACGAUGAACGCUAGGUGUCGGAG